ACAACGAAGAGUUUGAUCCUGGCUCAGGAUGAACGCUAGCGACAGGCUUAACACAUGCAAGUCGAGGGGCAGCAUGAACUUAGCUUGCUAAGUUUGAUGGCGACCGGCGCACGGGUGAGUAACGCGUAUGCAACUUACCUAUCAGAGGAGAAUAGCUCAUCGAAAGAUGAAUUAAUGCUCCAUAAAACAGGGGUCCCGCAUGGGAAUAUUUGUUAAAGAUUCAUCGCUGAUAGAUAGGCAUGCGUUCCAUUAGGCAGUUGGCGGGGUAACGGCCCACCAAACCGACGAUGGAUAGGGGUUCUGAGAGGAAGGUCCCCCACAUUGGUACUGAGACACGGACCAAACUCCUACGGGAGGCAGCAGUGAGGAAUAUUGGUCAAUGGCCGAGAGGCUGAACCAGCCAAGUCGCGUGAAGGAUGAAGGAUCUAUGGUUUGUAAACUUCUUUUAUACGGGAAUAAAGUGAGUCACGUGUGGCUUUUUGUAUGUACCGUAUGAAUAAGCAUCGGCUAACUCCGUGCCAGCAGCCGCGGUAAUACGGAGGAUGCGAGCGUUAUCCGGAUUUAUUGGGUUUAAAGGGUGCGUAGGUGGUCUUUUAAGUCAGCGGUGAAAGUUUGUGGCUCAACCAUAAAAUUGCCAUUGAAACUGGGAGACUUGAGUAUGUUUGAGGUAGGCGGAAUGCGUGGUGUAGCGGUGAAAUGCAUAGAUAUCACGCAGAACUCCGAUUGCGAAGGCAGCUUGCCAAGCCAUAACUGACACUGAAGCACGAAAGCGUGGGUAUCAAACAGGAUUAGAUACCCUGGUAGUCCACGCAGUAAACGAUGAUUACUAGGAGUUUGCGAUAUAAUGUAAGCUCUACAGCGAAAGCGUUAAGUAAUCCACCUGGGGAGUACGCCGGCAACGGUGAAACUCAAAGGAAUUGACGGGGGCCCGCACAAGCGGAGGAACAUGUGGUUUAAUUCGAUGAUACGCGAGGAACCUUACCCGGGUUUGAACGCAGUCUGACCGCCGAUGAAAGUCGGUUUCUAGCAAUAGCGGAUUGCGAGGUGCUGCAUGGUUGUCGUCAGCUCGUGCCGUGAGGUGUCGGCUUAAGUGCCAUAACGAGCGCAACCCUUGCCGUUAGUUACUAACAAGUAGUGUUGAGGACUCUAGCGGGACUGCCAGCGUAAGCUGUGAGGAAGGCGGGGAUGACGUCAAAUCAGCACGGCCCUUACAUCCGGGGCGACACACGUGUUACAAUGGCGUGGACAAAGAGCAGCCACUUGGUGACAAGGAGCUAAUCUCCAAACCACGUCUCAGUUCGGAUCGGAGUCUGCAACUCGACUCCGUGAAGCUGGAUUCGCUAGUAAUCGCGCAUCAGCCAUGGCGCGGUGAAUACGUUCCCGGGCCUUGUACACACCGCCCGUCAAGCCAUGGGAGCCGGGGGUACCUGAAGUCCGUAACCGCGAGGAUCGGCCUAGGGUAAAACUGGUGACUGGGGCUAAGUCGUAACAAGGUAGCCGUACCGGAAGGUGCGGCUGGAACACCUCCUUU
This 1531-nucleotide ribosomal RNA is filed under the name Parabacteroides faecalis. RNAcentral's name for it is "bacterial SSU rRNA". It matches the Rfam family "Bacterial small subunit ribosomal RNA". Lineage: Bacteria; Pseudomonadati; Bacteroidota; Bacteroidia; Bacteroidales; Tannerellaceae. The record is from RNAcentral.